This 530-nucleotide ribosomal RNA is filed under the name uncultured bacterium. RNAcentral's name for it is "partial 16S ribosomal RNA". It matches the Rfam family "Bacterial small subunit ribosomal RNA", at positions 355 to 895 of the family's 1533-position model. The record is from RNAcentral.
UGGGGAAUAUUGCACAAUGGGCGCAAGCCUGAUGCAGCAACGCCGCGUGAGGGAUGACGGCCUUCGGGUUGUAAACCUCUUUUAGCAGGGAAGAAGCGAAAGUGACGGUACCUGCAGAAAAAGCACCGGCUAACUACGUGCCAGCAGCCGCGGUAAUACGUAGGGUGCAAGCGUUGUCCGGAAUUAUUGGGCGUAAAGAGCUCGUAGGCGGUCUGUCGCGUCUGCUGUGAAAUCCCCGAGGCUCAACCUCGGGCCUGCAGUGGGUACGGGCAGACUAGAGUGCGUAGGGGGGAAUGGAACUCCUGGUGUAGCGGUGGAAUGCGCAGAUAUCAGGAAGAACACCGAUGGCGAAGGCAGUUCUCUGGGCCGUAACUGACGCUGAGGAGCGAAAGCGUGGGGAGCGAACAGGAUUAGAUACCCUGGUAGUCCACGCCGUAAACGUUGGGCGCUAGAUGUGGGGACCAUUCCACGGUUUCCGUGUCGCAGCUAACGCAUUAAGCGCCCCGCCUGGGGAGUACGGCCGCAAGGCU